RNAcentral lists this ribosomal RNA (253 nucleotides) under uncultured bacterium. RNAcentral describes it as "partial 16S ribosomal RNA". It matches the Rfam family "Bacterial small subunit ribosomal RNA", at positions 524 to 776 of the family's 1533-position model. The record is from RNAcentral.
UACGUAGGGGGCUAGCGUUGUUCGGAAUCAUUGGGCGUAAAGGGCGCGUAGGCGGUCACGUAUGUCUGCUGUGAAAGCGCACGGCUCAACCGUGUGAAGUCGGUAGAAACUGCGGGACUUGAGGCUGGGAGAGGUUGGUGGAAUUCCCUGUGUAGCGGUGAAAUGCGUAGAUAUAGGGGAGAACACUCGUGGCGAAGGCGGCCAGCUGGACCAGCCCUGACGCUGAGGCGCGACAGCGUGGGGAGCAAACAGG